Molecule: long non-coding RNA, 213 nt
Organism: Pleuronectes platessa (European plaice)
Lineage: Eukaryota; Metazoa; Chordata; Actinopteri; Pleuronectiformes; Pleuronectidae
Exons: 3
Source: RefSeq, a predicted model, not a curated record
AGCGGCGAUGGAAAAAGGUAAAAAGUCACCACCGUUUCACCCGGCAACACAUUAGCUGUAUUUGAGGAUGGAUUCCGAAGCAGCGACCCAUUCAGCAGGUACAGCCAGCAGCAGCAGACCGUCUGCGGACCCAUUGCUGCCCGUGCUGCCCAUUCUGGACCCCACUGUGCCCCUGGACAGGCAGCAAUGUGUCCUGAAGGCAACCAAAGCGGC